ACUCCUACGGGAGGCAGCAGUAGGGAAUCUUCCACAAUGGGCGCAAGCCUGAUGGAGCAACACCGCGUGAGUGAAGAAGGGUUUCGGCUCGUAAAGCUCUGUUGUUAAAGAAGAACACGUAUGAGAGUAACUGUUCAUACGUUGACGGUAUUUAACCAGAAAGUCACGGCUAACUACGUGCCAGCAGCCGCGGUAAUACGUAGGUGGCAAGCGUUAUCCGGAUUUAUUGGGCGUAAAGAGAGUGCAGGCGGUUUUCUAAGUCUGAUGUGAAAGCCUUCGGCUUAACCGGAGAAGUGCAUCGGAAACUGGAUAACUUGAGUGCAGAAGAGGGUAGUGGAACUCCAUGUGUAGCGGUGGAAUGCGUAGAUAUAUGGAAGAACACCAGUGGCGAAGGCGGCUACCUGGUCUGCAACUGACGCUGAGACUCGAAAGCAUGGGUAGCGAACAGGAUUAUAUACCCUGGUAGGAUAGCG
Molecule: ribosomal RNA, 473 nt
Filed under: uncultured bacterium
Lineage: Bacteria
Description: bacterial SSU rRNA
Rfam family: Bacterial small subunit ribosomal RNA
Source: RNAcentral